GUUUGAUCCUGGCUCAGAACGAACGCUGGCGGCGUGGCUAAGACAUGCAAGUCGAACGGACCCGUUAAUUUAUUAGCGAGUCAGUGGCGAAAGGGUGAGUAAUGAAUAGGUAACGUACCCCGAGCUCUGGGAUAGCCAUCCGAAAGGAUGGGUAAUACCGGAUAACCUCACGAGUCGAUGGGCUCGUGAGCAAAGAUUCAUCGGCGCGGGAGCGGCCUAUUUCCUAUCAGCUAGUUGGUGAGGUAACGGCCCACCAAGGCGAAGACGGGUAGCGGGACUGAGAGGUUGGCCCGCCACAUCGGAACUGAGACACUGUCCGGACCCCCACGGGGGGCUGCAGUAACGAAUCUUGGGCAAUGGGCGAAAGCCUGACCCAGCGACGCCGCGUGCGGGAGGAAGUCCUUCGGGAUGUAAACCGCUGUCAGGGGUAAGAAAGUCCACUUCGGUGGAUUGAUCCAACCCAGAGGAAGUCACGGCUAACUCUGUGCCAGCAGCCGCGGUAAGACAGAGGUGCUAGCGUUGUUCGGUAUCACUGGGCUUAAAGCGUGUGUAGGCGGGAGCGUAAGCAUUUUGUGAAAUCCCCCGGCUCAACCGGGGCAUUGCUUGAUGUACUGCGUUCCUUGAGGCAAGUAGGGGUGCGAGGAACUCUUGGUGGAGCGGUGGAAUGCGUAGAUAUCAAGAGGAACGCCGAUGGUGAAGACAUCGCACUAGGCUUGUCCUGACGCUGAGACACGAAAGCGUGGGGAGCGAACGGGAUUAGAUACCCCGGUAGUCCACGCCGUAAACGAUGCCUACUAGAUUGUGGCGGUUCUGACGCCGGCACAGUCGAAGCCAAAGUGUUAAGUAGGCCGCCUGGGGAGUACGGUCGCAAGGCUAAAACUCAAAGGAAUUGACGGGGGCUCACACAAGCGGUGGAGCAUGUGGAUUAAUUCGAAUCAACGCGCAGAACCUUACCUGGGUUUGACAUGCUUGGAUGCCUUUCUGGAAACAGAGUAGGCUACCCUUCGGGGUGAAACUUGCACAGGUGCUGCAUGGCUGUCGUCAGCUCGUGUCGUGAGAUGUCGGGUUAAGUCCCUUAACGAGCGAAACCCUUACCGUUAGUUACCAGCGGGUCAUGCCGGGAACUCUAGCGGGACUGCCGGUGUUAAACCGGAGGAAGGCGGGGAUGACGUCAAGUCAUCAUGGCCUUUAUGCCCAGGGCCUCACACGUGCUACAAUGGUCGGUACAAAGCGACGCGAGACCGCAAGGUGGAGCAAAUCGCAAAAAACCGGCCCCAGUUCGGAUUGUAGGCUGGCAACUCGCCUGCAUGAAGUUGGAAUCGCUAGUAAUCGCGGAUCAGCUAUGCCGCGGUGAAUGUGUUCCUGAGCCUUGUACACACCGCCCGUCAAGUGAUGGGAGUUGGAAGUACCCGAAGUCGGGUUGCUAACCUCGCAAGAGGAGGCGCCUGCCGACGGUAAGUCCGACGACUGGCACUAAGUCGGAACAAGGUA
Molecule: ribosomal RNA, 1491 nt
Filed under: metagenome
Description: bacterial SSU rRNA
Rfam family: Bacterial small subunit ribosomal RNA
Source: RNAcentral